RNAcentral lists this non-coding RNA (145 nucleotides) under Pan paniscus (pygmy chimpanzee). Lineage: Eukaryota; Metazoa; Chordata; Mammalia; Primates; Hominidae. The record is from Rfam by way of RNAcentral. RNAcentral also lists the same sequence under 1 other name.
GCUGGGCAUAGUGGUGUGUGCCUGUAGUCCCAGCUACUAGGGAGGCUGAGGUGGGAGGAUUGCUUGAGCCCAGGAGGUUGAGGCUGCAGUGAGCUGAUUGUGCCACUACACUCCAGUCUGGCAACAGAGCAAGAUCCUAUCUCAA